UUGACCGGUAAGUCCUUCAAUCGUUUUGAAUUCACACACAGAUGUUGUACCAUCUGAACAUCAAAAGUGGUAUCCUUCUCCAUUUGGUGUAAAUGUUGAUGAAUUCGGUGAUAUCUACGCGAGAGUGGUCUGGUUUUCAACCGACUCGAACUGUUUAUUUGUUUUUUGUACCUGAUGAAAAGAUUGGUGGUCAUGAUGGUGCAGAGAAGUGCGCCGAAUCGGAGAAAUUCAAGAAGAUGACUGUUGGAAUUAUCCUCUACAACAUUGGUCAAGAAAUCUUAAGAAGGGAUCCAAAUUACACAGCAAACUCACCUUCUCAAGCACACAUUACCGCACAACAAUUACUUGAGAAAAGUUUAAAACUGAAGGAAUUUGUUAAUGCUUAAAUGGGUAUGUCAUAUUUGACAUCUAAGUAACUGGAGGACCAUAGGUCUAUGGAGAGAUUUAUAGCUUAUGCGCUGUGUUCCGCGGAUGAAAGCUCUAAGAGAUGCUAACUGGCUGCCUACUGAACUCAGAGAAGAAAGAAAGGACGUAAAGUUUACUCGUUAUAGAUUGUUUUUUCUCUAUAUGAUUAUAGUGUUUGGAGAGUUGGGAAAUUUACUUGAUGAUUUUCUUACUUGAGUUUUUAUGACGAAGCAUGUCUUUCUUGUUUUUUUCUAGGGAGUUUCUAUUGUAGCAGGCACUGGAUGCAUAAGUGACAUUUUGUAUGCAGCAAAAAUGAUCUGUGAGAAGCGACUGCGCCAGCUUAGUCCAUUUUUUAUCCCUCAGAUAUCGAUAAACAUCGCAGCAGGUCAUGUUAGCAUGAGAUAUGGAUGCAAGGUGCUUGGAUUAAAUCUGCCAAUUCCCGUUCUUUAUGGGUACGAAGUAGCCUGGUGUACAAUCUAGUGCACUAGCCUAUUUCCUACAAGAAGUAGCCUAUUUAUGGGCCCGAAUACUUGAUUUCAUGCAUAUUUUUUAGGUGUGUACAUGCUUGUGCACCGAUUUAUUUUCCAUGAAAAAAGUAGUUCCGAAAGAAUGACUUCAUGCAUGUUUUAUAGGUGUGUACAAAUUAGUACACAUGUGAAAAUAAUGACUAUAUAAGCUUAUGCCUGCAUAAAUAACUAGGGUGUACAAAUUAGUACACAUGUGAAGUUUGUGACUCCAUAAGCUUUUAUAUGCAAGGCUAGAGUGUACAAACUAGUAUACAUGCGAAAAUAAUGACUCCUUAAGCUUAUGCUUGCAUAAAAA
Molecule: long non-coding RNA, 1227 nt
Organism: Papaver somniferum (opium poppy)
Lineage: Eukaryota; Viridiplantae; Streptophyta; Magnoliopsida; Ranunculales; Papaveraceae
Exons: 4
Source: RefSeq, a predicted model, not a curated record